Small nuclear RNA from Octodon degus (degu), 104 nucleotides. The record is from Ensembl. Lineage: Eukaryota; Metazoa; Chordata; Mammalia; Rodentia; Octodontidae.
GUGCUCACUUAAGCAGCACAUGUACUAAAAUUGGAACUAUACAGAGAUUAGGAUGGCCCCUGUACAAGUAUGACAUGCAAAUUUGUGAAACAGUCCAUAUUUUU